CUGGGCUGUAAUGAGAAGGGGGUUUUCCUGAGCACGAGCCAGAGGCCGGCAGAAUCUCAAUCAACACACUCAAAUGCCAGAAAGAUUACUCUAGCUGCUGGGUGGAGAAAGAAAUGUGAUGGAAAGACCGGGGUGAGAGACGCUGGUUAAGAAGGCUGCUGUGGGCAACCUGCGGGCAUCCAGGUACCUCUUCCCUGUGUCACCAUGCCAGGCUGACACAAGCAAAGUUGUCCCUGCUUACUCAGUCCAAGAGGAACCAUGCAGAUGGUGACCAGCGAGACGCACUGGGCUGUGUUUCUCAUACUCCAAUGUGUACCGGAAUCUCCAGGAGGUCUGUGUAAAAAUGC
RNAcentral lists this long non-coding RNA (347 nucleotides) under Equus caballus (horse). RNAcentral describes it as "lncRNA (ENSECAG00000056159.1)". The record is from RNAcentral. Lineage: Eukaryota; Metazoa; Chordata; Mammalia; Perissodactyla; Equidae.